CGGCGAGUGAAGCGGCAACAGCUCAAAUUUGAAAUCUGGCCCCCCCGCGGGGGUCCGAGUUGUAAUUUGCAGAGGGUGCUUUGGCGUUGGCUGUGGUCUAAGUUCCUUGGAACAGGACGUCGCAGAGGGUGAGAAUCCCGUAUGUGGCCGCCAGUCUUCGCCGUGUAAAGCCCCUUCGACGAGUCGAGUUGUUUGGGAAUGCAGCUCUAAAUGGGAGGUAAAUUUCUUCUAAAGCUAAAUAUCUGCCAGAGACCGAUAGCGCACAAGUAGAGUGAUCGAAAGAUGAAAAGCACUUUGGAAAGAGAGUCAAAAAGCACGUGAAAUUGUUGAAAGGGAAGCGCUUGCAGUCAGACGUGCCUCUAGUUGCUCAGCCGGGCCUUCGGGCCCGGUGCACUCUUCUAUUGGCAGGCCAGCAUCAGUCUGGGCGGUCGGAUAAAGGCCCAUUAAACGUGACUCCCUCCGGGGAGAGCUUAUAGGGUGGGCGACAUGCGACCAGCCCGGACUGAGGUCCGCGCAUCUGCUAGGAUGCUGGCUUAAUAACUGUAAGCGGCCCGUCUUGAAACACGGACCAAGGAGUCUAACAUCUAUGCGAGUGUUUGGGUGUCAAGCCCGGACGCGUAAUGAAAGUGAACGGAGGUGGGAUCCCUUCGGGGUGCACCAUCGACCGAUCCUGAUGUCUUCGGAUGGAUUUGAGUAAGAGCAUAGCUGUUGGGACCCGAAAGAUGGUGAACUAUGCCUGAAUAGGGUGAAGCCAGAGGAAACUCUGGUGGAGGCUCGCAGCGGUUCUGACGUGCAAAUCGAUCGUCAAAUUUGGGCAUAGGGGCGAAAGACUAAUCGAAC
RNAcentral lists this ribosomal RNA (840 nucleotides) under Neovaginatispora fuckelii. RNAcentral's name for it is "partial large subunit ribosomal RNA". It matches the Rfam family "Eukaryotic large subunit ribosomal RNA", at positions 87 to 940 of the family's 3401-position model. The record is from RNAcentral. Lineage: Eukaryota; Fungi; Ascomycota; Dothideomycetes; Pleosporales; Lophiostomataceae.